GACAUUGUGGUGCACAUGGUUAACAUGCUUGGCUGCUAACCAAAAAGUUGGAGGUUCGAGUCCAUCCAGAGGUA
This 74-nucleotide transfer RNA is filed under the name Loxodonta africana (African savanna elephant). It matches the Rfam family "tRNA". From Rfam's summary of the family: Transfer RNA (tRNA) molecules are approximately 80 nucleotides in length. Their secondary structure includes four short double-helical elements and three loops (D, anti-codon, and T loops). The record is from Rfam by way of RNAcentral. Lineage: Eukaryota; Metazoa; Chordata; Mammalia; Proboscidea; Elephantidae.